AUCGCUUCUCGGCCUUUUGGCUAAGAUCAAGUGUAGUAUCAAAAUAGAGCAACAUUUUAAGGAACAGAAUCUAAGUAUCAUGGUGAUUUCAGUAGGUUCCCAAUAGGAUUCAUAUGUAAUAAGCUUGUUAUUCAAGAUAGAGCAACGUUUUAACGAAC
Molecule: small nuclear RNA, 158 nt
Gene: U2
Rfam family: U2 spliceosomal RNA
About the family: U2 is a small nuclear RNA (snRNA) component of the spliceosome (involved in pre-mRNA splicing). Complementary binding between U2 snRNA (in an area lying towards the 5' end but 3' to hairpin I) and the branchpoint sequence (BPS) of the intron results the bulging out of an unpaired adenosine, on the BPS, which initiates a nucleophilic attack at the intronic 5' splice site, thus starting the first of two transesterification reactions that mediate splicing.
Source: Ensembl